RNAcentral lists this long non-coding RNA (4326 nucleotides) under Homo sapiens (human). RNAcentral describes it as "HSALNT0409475". The record is from RNAcentral. Lineage: Eukaryota; Metazoa; Chordata; Mammalia; Primates; Hominidae.
ACUCUUCCUAACACUACCAACCUAUCUUGGGGAGUGCGGGAGGGUGGGGAACAUUAAAUCCUGGGCUCGGCCUCAGGCCGACAGAGCCGAAAGUGGCCUCGGGAACCUAUGCCUGUUAAAAAAAGAACUACAAGUCCCAGCAGGCUGAGCGGCUACGGCUCUCUGGACCUGCUCGGGAUUGGAGCGUAAUGCAACGUUCUAGGAAAGAGAGUAUUUCUUCUGGGUGUGGCCAACCCGGAUUUGUAGUUCCCAGGCCGGUGUUCCCGUAUGGUCUCACUCUGUCAUGCAUGAUGGACUGCAGUGGUGCAAUCAUGGCUCACUGUAGCUUCGACCACCCUGGCUCCGGUCAUCAUCCUACCUCAGCCUCCCAGGUAUGUGGGAUUACAGUGGUGUCAGUCAUCAACCUUGUGAUCACUGAGGAAAAGAUACAAUAAUCCUUGCCUAUCCGACCCAACCAGGAUCCUGAGCCCUCACUUUCUCCCUGCGUUCCUCAUGAUCCAUUUGACUAUAAUGCAGAAAGUUUGUUUAGCUACUGGCUGGUAUCUGUAACUCCUAUGACAGCUCACACUCCUUGAAGAAGAAGAGAGAAAACAGAAGACUUGUCCUGUGGAUAGAUUAUUUCUUCUUCUGUUUGUUUGUUCUUUGUAUGCUCUCGACAACAUCCACAUACACAAAUGCACAUACAUAAACACAGAAACUUUUUCUUAACAUGGACAAUCUGAAAGAGAAAGCAGCACAACAACCAUUUUGGAUGAUCGAGACUAUUUUUAUAUUAUUACAGUACAAUUGCAGAAUGAAUUCAAAAGGGCAAGCCCCUAGCAAUGAUAAUGCUAAAUGGCUGGUGGAUGUAAAUAAUUAGUGGUCAAUAUAUUAUCCAUGAUAUGUGGCAAGUUUGAAAGUUGGAAAUGCAGAAUCCCUGUUCUGGUCAUAUUAUUGUACUUGGAUCUGCUGGGAACCAUUUGAUACUCUGGGAUUCUCAUUGAGAAUCCAGUGAUAGCUAAUGUUGAAUAUUGCUUGCUGCUGGGCAACAGUGACUGUCAAAACAUUCCGUCACCACUUUUUUUUUUCAGUUUAGAAAAAGGGUCUUGGAUGUUGCCUAGGCUGGCCGGAAACUCCUGAAGUCAAGUGAUUCUCCUGUCUUUGCCUUUAGUUCUGGAAGUACUGGGAGUGAACCUCUGCACCAGGAUUUCCCUCACCAUUUUCUGUAAAAUGGCUUACUACAAAGAACAUUUCUGUAGUAUAUUUUUAUGUAUGUAUGUAUUAUGUAUUUAUUUAUUUAUUUAUUUUUGAGACAGAGUCACAAUGCUGCCCAGGCCCUAGUGCAGUGGUGUGAUCUUAGCUUACUGCAACAUCUGCUUCUGUGUUCAAGAGAUUCUCCUGCCUUAGCCUGUGGAGUAGCUGGAAUUACAGGUGCACACCACCAAGCCCGGCUAAUUUUUAUCUUCUUUGGUAGAGACCGUGUACACACACACACACACACACACACACACACACACAUUUAGGUAGAUACGAGGUCUCGCUCACAGCAGCUUCAGCAAACACAGAUUUCUGGUGUUGGAGGACAGAUUUAACUACAGAAAAUUCUGUUGGGCAAUCGGAAGCCUCAAUCUAUACAGACUUUUAGGAGGAGCCUGCCUGUUUGGUUCAAAUUUAGCCAAAAUAUUUUUUUUUUACCACUGAUUCAGUAAAUCUCCUAACUUUGCAGGAACUGGGAUCCUAAAAAUUAUGGAACGAAUUGUAGAAACUCAAGCAACUUUCUCCAAAGCCUAGGGUUCAGCAAGAGUAAGCAAGAGGCACUGAGCCGCUGGAGUCUGCACAUUGAUAAAUUUACUUACAGUCGUAAAUAAAUUGCAUCAUCUUCAGCUAGUAACACAGAGUCUAAUUUUUAUAGCGGCAUACUUGCCUCCACGACUUUCCUAGACACCAGAAAGAAAGGCGAGAGCCAGCCUUAGCCUAAUCAAGAACCAUGAUCCAAAAAGGAGUGGGAGGAACCUAGCGGCCACGUGGGAAUCCCAGCCCUCCUAUUAAGCCUACCCUCUUUGCAAAUUGUGACUGUGAGCUCCUGGUUUACAGAAAUAUAUCCCAGAACUCAAGCAACAUGAGCCACUAUAAUUGUCUCUGGAAGGUGACCCAUUUGCAGAUAGGGACUUCCCUGAAGGUUGGGGCCCUCAUGAGCUAUGCUUUCCACCAAGUUGUCUCUAUAAGGACCAGUUCCAGGACCUCAGGGAGGAAAUUUCACUUUCUGCCUUGGUGGAAUGUGAAGUGAGUGGCUCCCCGGCCACACCCCACCCUCCAUAAAAUAGAAGGUAAAUCCCAACUGCCAAAAGCUUUUUGUCCUCCUCUCAGGGAUACUAAUUAAAGCAGUUGGGCUACUUUUUCAUGCAUUUCAUCUCAAGUUGUCUUUCUGCCUAUCUCCUGAGCCCAGCGAAAGAGUUCCUUAAAAUAACCCUCAAACCUCUGUAGUAAAGGACCACACAAAUAACGAAUGCCAUGAAAAAACAGGGCUAGAGGUUUCAGAGGAUGAGAAAGGAAGAGCAGCCAGAACACUGGCUGUCUAGGUAUGCUACUGGUGCCUGACUCUGCACCUGUGUGUGUCUGUGUGCUGUGUUCCAAUGGCAGAGCAUCGGGGCCACCAGAACUCUCUCAGCUACCGCACAUGGAGAGGGAGGAGUGAUAAAGAGAAAUCAAGAAACUCAGUUUCUUUGAAAUGGAAAUCAAUAAACUCAGUUUCCUCAAAGUUCAAAAUACAUGAGACUGCCUACCCUCCUUGGAAGGCAAGGUGGGGCUUUCUGAAGCAAAUACCAGCUUUAAAAAAAAAUGUAUAUAUAUAUGAAGAUAUAUACAAAAAAAAAAUUUCCCCACAACCAGACAAUCAGAAUCAUCAAACCCAGAAGGGUUAAAGAAAAAGAAAAGGCCCAGGAAAGUAUGAUUGGUGGGGAUCAAAAGUAUCUCUCCACAGUGGUAAAUGAGAAUUCUCAAAAAGAGUAAAAUUAUAAUUCUCAUGCACAUAUAAAAUAAAUAUGUAUUACAGAUUUUACUUAAACCAUAUAGCUCAAAAUUAGCUAACAAGGAAGACAUUAUAACCUGUUCAAAGAGAAGCCAAAGAAGGGAAAUUUAUAUGCUGUAAAGAAAUAUUUAAAGGAAUAUGGCAAAACUGACUCUUAAUAGGAGAUGCCCUAUGUGGUACAUAAUUUGUUUGUGUAUCUACACACAUGAAUUAUUUUGCACUUGUAUCACUAUCUACAACUUACACUGUUGUAAAGUAACUCCCACACAAUCAGAAUCAUAUAACCCAAAAAGGUAUCUUCCCUAACCAAACAAGGUUUUCCAAUAAAGCACUAUUUUGUCUCACAUUGCCAUAUUUUAAUGGCCUUUGAAAAUAUUAUUUCUAGAAAAGGGUUUGAAGGAAAUUUGGUUGGACUUGACUUUUGUACCCUUGUUAUCAUUAUCAUUAUUAUUAGUGGUAAUUGUAGUUCCCUGCUGAGACUAAGCACUCAGCUCUUGAAAUGCCAAUCUCAAGACUUUUUCUUCCAAAGCUUCCAGAAAUAAUGGAAGAAUGUGUAGGCUGCAUGCACAAUGAAAGCCAGUAAGUAGAGGAAGACUCUACAAAGUUAUGUUUGUUUCAGAAACAGUAGUAGUGACAAAAAUAUAUGAAGAUAUGCAAUAGGACUAAGUUAAAGUAACAUGCAAUUAUUUCUAAAACUCAGAAUUGUAUUUUACCCAUCUGAUUCUGCCAGGUUUUGUUUCCAUGAGACAUGCAGUCUCAUGGAGAGAUAAACGCAGUCUUGGGUUGGCUGAUGAUGUUUUGGGGACAGCCACAUUAUUUUAAUAUUAAUUUUAUUCUUAUUUAACAUAGUUUUAGUACUGCUGAUGUGGAAUAUUCUUAACAAUGUCUGUUUUUUGGGAAAUAAUAAGCUUAAAAUCUUGAUAACUGCUUCUGGGGCAGCAGUCAGGGCCUAGCUCCUCUCUGAGACUCCAGAGGUCAUGCUUAUCCAGUCAAGGCAACUUUUCAAGGCAAGUAGGAUCCAGGAUUCCUGUCAAGUAAGUGGGCUCAGUCCUGACUGACAAACAAACAAGCACAAAAACAACCCCUCCCCACAAAAAAACACACAUACAAGCUUGGGUGGAAAGCCAGUAUACAGUACCUGAGGAAAGACAAGAAGAGCAAACUGAAAAGAAACCAGAGAGGCUAAGAAAAUAGCCUAGAUAAAAGGAAAAUGGUGAUGAAGAUAUUCAAAAGUACCUCUCUGAUAGUUACACCAUCCUGCAUUCAGAGUCCAUGUUUCAUAUUAUAAUCUUCUCACUGCCUUUGUCUUUGUUUUUUUU